This 465-nucleotide ribosomal RNA is filed under the name uncultured bacterium. RNAcentral describes it as "partial 16S ribosomal RNA". It matches the Rfam family "Bacterial small subunit ribosomal RNA", at positions 338 to 795 of the family's 1533-position model. The record is from RNAcentral.
CCUACGGGAGUCAGCAGUAGGGAAUCUUCCACAAUGGGCGAAAGCCUGAUGGAGCAACGCCGCGUGGGUGAAGAAGGUCUUCGGAUCGUAAAACCCUGUUGUUAGAGAAGAAAGUGCGUGAGAGUAACUGUUAACGUUUCGACGGUAUCUAACCAGAAAGCCACGGCUAACUACGGGCCAGCAGCCGCGGUAAUACGUAGGUGGCAAGCGUUAUCCGGAUUUAUUGGGCGUAAAGGGAACGCAGGCGGUCUUUUAAGUCUGAUGUGAAAGCCUUCGGCUUAACCGGAGUAGUGCAUUGGAAACGGGGAGACUUGAGUGCAGAAGAGGAGAGUGGAACUCCAUGUGUAGCGGUGAAAUGCGUAGAUAUAUGGAAGAACACCAGUGGCGAAAGCGGCUCUCUGGUCUGUAACUGACGCUGAGGUUCGAAAGCGUGGGUAGCAAACAGGAUUAGAUACCCCUGUAGUC